RNAcentral lists this ribosomal RNA (545 nucleotides) under uncultured bacterium. Its description in RNAcentral is "bacterial SSU rRNA". It matches the Rfam family "Bacterial small subunit ribosomal RNA", at positions 777 to 1320 of the family's 1533-position model. The record is from RNAcentral.
AAUAGAUACCCAGGUAGUCCACCCCGUAAACGUUGGGAACUAGUUGUGGGGUCCUUUCCACGGAUUCCGUGACGCAGCUAACGCAUUAAGUUCCCCGCCUGGGGAGUACGGCCGCAAGGCUAAAACUCAAAGGAAUUGACGGGGACCCGCACAAGCGGCGGAGCAUGCGGAUUAAUUCGAUGCAACGCGAAGAACCUUACCAAGGCUUGACAUACACCAGAACACCCUAGAAAUAGGGGACUCUUUGGACACUGGUGAACAGGUGGUGCAUGGUUGUCGUCAGCUCGUGUCGUGAGAUGUUGGGUUAAGUCCCGCAACGAGCGCAACCCUCGUUCUAUGUUGCCAGCACGUAAUGGUGGGAACUCAUGGGAUACUGCCGGGGUCAACUCGGAGGAAGGUGGGGAUGACGUCAAAUCAUCAUGCCCCUUAUGUCUUGGGCUUCACGCAUGCUACAAUGGCCGGUACAAAGGGCUGCAAUACCGUGAGGUGGAGCGAAUCCCAAAAAGCCGGUCCCAGUUCGGAUUGAGGUCUGCAACUCGACCUCA